Molecule: ribosomal RNA, 518 nt
Filed under: Bacillus subtilis
Lineage: Bacteria; Bacillati; Bacillota; Bacilli; Caryophanales; Bacillaceae
Description: bacterial SSU rRNA
Rfam family: Bacterial small subunit ribosomal RNA
Source: RNAcentral
UUUGGAAAAGAAUUGAUCCUGGCUCAGGACGAACGCUGGCGGCGUGCCUAAUACAUGCAAGUCGAGCGGACAGAUGGGAGCUUGCUCCCUGAUGUUAGCGGCGGACGGGUGAGUAACACGUGGGUAACCUGCCUGUAAGACUGGGAUAACUCCGGGAAACCGGGGCUAAUACCGGAUGGUUGUUUGAACCGCAUGGUUCAGACAUAAAAGGUGGCUUCGGCUACCACUUACAGAUGGACCCGCGGCGCAUUAGCUAGUUGGUGAGGUAACGGCUCACCAAGGCGACGAUGCGUAGCCGACCUGAGAGGGUGAUCGGCCACACUGGGACUGAGACACGGCCCAGACUCCUACGGGAGGCAGCAGUAGGGAAUCUUCCGCAAUGGACGAAAGUCUGACGGAGCAACGCCGCGUGAGUGAUGAAGGUUUUCGGAUCGUAAAGCUCUGUUGUUAGGGAAGAACAAUACCGUUCAAAUAGGGCGGCACCUUGACGGUACCUAACCAGAAAGCACGGCUAUCCG